Molecule: long non-coding RNA, 1488 nt
Organism: Sinocyclocheilus grahami
Lineage: Eukaryota; Metazoa; Chordata; Actinopteri; Cypriniformes; Cyprinidae
Exons: 3
Source: RefSeq, a predicted model, not a curated record
CACACACACACACUCCUCACACAGACACACACACCUCACACAGUCACACACGCACACACACACACACUCACCAGUGUCUUCAGUCUGUCAUUUUCUCUUGACGAAGCUCAGAUGUCAUUCAAACAGGGCAGAUUUCUGCAUUAAAGAAAGAGAUUCUAGAAAAUGAAAUUUAGUUAAUCUGUGUUUUUGAUGGAUUUUUUGAAGUGUUGCAUUUGUUACAUUAAGAGUUACAGAAGCAGAUAAACAGCUGGAGAACAGCAGAAUAACACAUGAAAUAAAGCACUAAAAAGGCCUGCAAGCUUGGUAAAAUGACUAGAAUGCAUUUUGGGAGUAUUGGAAGAACUGAAGCAGAACUUAGUAAAGCAUUUGGCUUGAUUUCCACUGUGUUGGCAUUUCCCCCUUAAUGUUUAAUUAUGAAAAAUCCCUAAUCACUUUCAGUGUUUUUGAGCUUUUCUGAAUCUGUUCCCGAAGCAGAAGAAGAGCCGGGGAACAGCAUCAACAUAAACAGUCCCUUCGUUUAUCCUUCUCAUGUUCAGCCCCAGAAAACUGUUGAUGGUUCAGCGUGCUGUGUGUUCUUUGCCUUUAUUGAGCAGACGGGAGCGGGACGUUAGUGCAGUGCGACAGGUCUGAGAUCAGAUGCAGGUCACUGUAGAUUUACUGAAAGAAGCGCAUUAUCAUUCCUCACAGCUAGUGAUGAUACAUCUGUGUAACACUUUAUUUUAAGGUGUCCUAAAUGUGUUGUAGAAGGGACACUAUCUGCACGUGGAUCAGCACUAAACCGUGGGAAUGUGUCCAGGGCAGAUGUGUGAGUGAUUACACACCCCAACAAUCCUCUUAUGCCAGUAUAAUCCUAUAAUCAGCCGCUGCCAUGUUUCGCUGUCACAGCACUAGCACUUGAUUUUAUUCUUAUUGUCUCGCAGAAGUAGGCUUUCAGAUCAACCGCAGUCGUUCCUGCUGCAAACCCUGAAUGAGGAGCUGGAUGAGAGCAGACUGAUCUCGCUGAGAGCAGCAGGGGGCAGCAGACGCUCGAGAGCCUCACUGCAGAACAUACGUGUGUGAAGAACAUGAAGAACAUGAUCACUGACACUAAUAUCAAGAGCUCCAGGAUUUCACCGGGGCCUUUGGACUCAUGUUUUCUGACUUCUGGGUCUGUUUGAGCUUCUCUUGGUCUGUUCCUGAAGCGCUAGGAGUCACUCAGAGCCUCAGAAGUGAGCAGUGUUCAGCAGAGCUGCAGGUUUAGGACGGCUCGUUCUUCACUGGUCACUGAAGAGCUCCUUCAUCUGUCUCUAAUGCAGCCGGAUCGCUCACAUGUGUUGCGUUCGUUCUGCUUCACUGCUUAACACGAGGAGCGAGCCGCAGCCAGAAGCACUGACGCCAGUGUUUCCCAGAAGUCUGUGCGUCUGUCUCUCAUGUUCUGGGUCAGUAAAUAGAGAGGUGGAAUCAUCCCGGUCCCACCCAAGACCUGCUGUUUCUCAUGCCCUGCUGCCC